UCAACCAAGCGCGGGUAA
RNAcentral lists this small nuclear RNA (18 nucleotides) under Arabidopsis thaliana (thale cress). RNAcentral describes it as "snRNA_01460". The record is from RNAcentral. Lineage: Eukaryota; Viridiplantae; Streptophyta; Magnoliopsida; Brassicales; Brassicaceae.